This 610-nucleotide ribosomal RNA is filed under the name bacterium enrichment culture clone Eyj1_C7. RNAcentral's name for it is "bacterial SSU rRNA". It matches the Rfam family "Bacterial small subunit ribosomal RNA", at positions 40 to 645 of the family's 1533-position model. The record is from RNAcentral.
CGGCAUGCCUUACACAUGCAAGUCGAACGGCAGCACGGGAGCAAUCCUGGUGGCGAGUGGCGAACGGGUGAGUAAUACAUCGGAACGUGCCCUGUAGUGGGGGAUAACUAGUCGAAAGACUAGCUAAUACCGCAUACGACCUGAGGGUGAAAGUGGGGGACCGCAAGGCCUCAUGCUAUAGGAGCGGCCGAUGUCUGAUUAGCUAGUUGGUGGGGUAAAGGCCUACCAAGGCGACGAUCAGUAGCUGGUCUGAGAGGACGAUCAGCCACACUGGGACUGAGACACGGCCCAGACUCCUACGGGAGGCAGCAGUGGGGAAUUUUGGACAAUGGGGGCAACCCUGAUCCAGCAAUGCCGCGUGUGUGAAGAAGGCCUUCGGGUUGUAAAGCACUUUUGUCCGGGAAGAAAUCGCACCUGAUAAUACCGGGUGUGGAUGACGGUACCGGAAGAAUAAGGACCGGCUAACUACGUGCCAGCAGCCGCGGUAAUACGUAGGGUCCAAGCGUUAAUCGGAAUUACUGGGCGUAAAGCGUGCGCAGGCGGUUGUGCAAGACCGAUGUGAAAUCCCCGGGCUUAACCUGGGAAUUGCAUUGGUGACUGCACGGCUAGA